RNAcentral lists this unclassified non-coding RNA (2226 nucleotides) under Hevea brasiliensis (rubber tree). The record is from RNAcentral. Lineage: Eukaryota; Viridiplantae; Streptophyta; Magnoliopsida; Malpighiales; Euphorbiaceae.
GGCAUACUCUCCCAAGCCAUAACCAUUAGUAAAUUGAUUUUGGUACAUGAUGAGAAAUAGUAUAUUUCACGUACUAAAGUCGUUGACUACAUUUCAGAAAGGAUGCAACUAGUUUAUUACCAAGUCAUAUUGGCAAUCAGAAGGUCCUUAGGACUACUGUAAUUUAAGAGAUUGUCGAGCAUCAACUUCCAAUUUCAGUAAACUGUUUCCUUUUAACAAUUUUUGUUUUUACCUGCCAAUGGUGUGCAAUGAGUUGUUUCCAUUCUCAAAUAACAGCAAGAUCAUAUUUAGAAUUAUCCUGAUAUGUUCGCCAAACCGAUGAUGAGGCAGAAACAUUCAAAAGGGUGCAGUCUGCAGAAUACUUGCGAAUUGAAAACAUCCAGAAUUUUCAAUUCCGACUCAAGAAAAGGGUUCCAAAGCAUAAAUAUAUGCAUCUUUCUUAUACCCCCAAAAUGAAUGGCCUUCUGAAAAACCAGUAAGCUCAACAACUUGUGAGUGUACUGAUUCUUCUUAUUUCCUCUCCACCAGUUUCACACUGCCUUCCUAAAAAUCAGAAGCAUUAUUCUCUUAAACAGACAAGCAUAAAAAACAAAAGGUUCAUUAUGCUUAGUUAAUUAAAUCAGACAGCACCAAGCAGAUGAAUUAACAAAUAUUCAAUACCAAACAAACUGUAAAUAUAAUCUAGAAGAUUUCCCUAUGCACCAAGGAUAUGUAAUUGGCAAACUCCAAAACUUCAAUGUAUUCACUGCCAAUAACUUGGAACUUAACACUUCAUUAAAAAAAAAUAAUAAAAAAAAAUUGAAACUUAACUCCAAGCCUAAAUCCAUGUAAACAUAAGGCAAUUUCCAUUCCAUUCCACCCAUUUAACCUAUAAAGUAACUUCCAUACUGGCAGUGCCUAAAUGUUUAACCAUCAGUUCCCAUUUAGCAGUAUAUAGCACCAAGAGAGAAACCAGUAUCAUCAUAAUUGUCCAUAAUUGAAAUCAAUGCCAGUUCAUCAAUUUCACAUUAAUCACAGCUACAAUUUUCAUAGAGACAAAGAUAGCAGAAGCAGCACAAAUACAGAAACUCAACCAAGCACCAAUCCAGAAAAUAUCAUCAUCAAUAUGAUAUACAAGGAAAGCAAGAAAGCUAAGCAAAAGGCAUUGCUGCACUUAGCUUUAGAAGCUUUCAUGUGGCAGGACAUUCGCAUAAUUGACGUGCUUAGGAGUCACACGGUUGCUUCGCUUAAAGAAACAUGUUAUGAGCGGAUUAAGAUUCAGUCAAUUCACUCAAAGCUUUUCAGGCUCAUAAAAUGCGAUGUUCAACUAAAACAUAAGGAUUCCUUCAUUAAGCAACAGUUCUCUCUCCUUAGAUCCAAACCCCAACUAAUAUCUAUUUCCUACACAUUUACUAUGAAGAAGAAAUGCAGGAGAGUAAAUUAUGGCUGCCACGGGAUCAACAUAGGUUCAAAAAAUCAUAAUAAUAAUAAAAAAAACACUGUUUGAUGUUGAUAAACAAGAACAAAAUCAACAUGAGCAAGAAUUUCUUUACUGGAAUUGCCAAUCCUUCUAAUCUCUGGAACUACAGAGAAACCCAAUUCAUUGAGCAGCAGCAACAACAAGAAGAAUCUUUCCAAUUUCAUACCCAUACCAAAAUUACAUAAAAUUCUGUUCCAGAACUAGCAAAAUAUAGUUAAAUGAGAAAGAAAUCGAGAGGAGCUUAAUGUAAAUAGUAGGAAAUCAAUCACAAACGAAGACCUGUUGAGGCAGCCUCCAAGCCUCAGCCUUGCUAAAGCACAUGUCAUCAAGUGCGUCACUCUUACACCACCGGCAAUUGGGGUUUUGAGAACAGAGAGGUCCCGACACCAUCUCACUGCAAUUAGGGAUCUGCUGUCGGGGGUCUCUACGUGCAGCAAACAGGGCGCGAUGCGAAGGAAUCGGUAAUGGGUAUUUGCUAGUUGUGACGUAAGAACACGAUGAUUGCAAUAGAGUUGCAAGGAAGAUAAGGAGGAUGGGGAAAAAGAUGAUGGUAGAGUGGAUUGCUACCAUUGUUGAGACAUAAAAAAUUGGUAACUUCGAUUUGGAUUGGACUAAAUUAGACUUUCCAAUUCAAGCUAAAUCUGGGGUAGGAGACACUUUGCAGUCUCUUUCGGUCAGAGAUUGAAUUGGUUCCCUUCUCCUUUCAAUCAAAGAGGCAGUAGAUGAUAAGCUGCUGCGGUUGCUCUAGAACUGGCGGAUGCACAAAU